RNAcentral lists this ribosomal RNA (460 nucleotides) under uncultured bacterium. RNAcentral describes it as "partial 16S ribosomal RNA". It matches the Rfam family "Bacterial small subunit ribosomal RNA", at positions 338 to 795 of the family's 1533-position model. The record is from RNAcentral.
CCUACGGGAGGCUGCAGUGAGGAAUAUUGGUCAAUGGACGAGAGUCUGAACCAGCCAAGUAGCGUGAAGGAUGACUGCCCUAUGGGUUGUAAACUUCUUUUAUAUGGGAAUAAAAUGUUCCACGUGUGGGAUUUUGUAUGUACCAUACGAAUAAGGAUCGGCUAACUCCGUGCCAGCAGCCGCGGUAAUACGGAGGAUCCGAGCGUUAUCCGGAUUCAUUGGGUUUAAAGGGAGCGUAGGUGGAUUGUUAAGUCAGUUGUGAAAGGUUGCGGCUCAACCGUAAAAUUGCAGUUGAAACUGGCAGUCUUGAGUACAGUAGAGGUGAGCGGAAUUCGUGGUGUAGCAGUGAAAUGCUUAGAUAUCGCGAAGAACUCCGAUUGCGAAGGCAGCUCACUGGACUGCAACUGACACUGAGGCUCGAAGGUGUGGGUAUCAAACGGGAUUAGAUACCCGUGUAGUC